UGAAAAUAUUAAAGCACCUAGAACAUAAAA
RNAcentral lists this non-coding RNA (30 nucleotides) under Mus musculus (house mouse). The record is from RNAcentral. Lineage: Eukaryota; Metazoa; Chordata; Mammalia; Rodentia; Muridae.